This 429-nucleotide ribosomal RNA is filed under the name Bacteroidota bacterium. Its description in RNAcentral is "Bacteroidetes bacterium partial 16S ribosomal RNA". It matches the Rfam family "Bacterial small subunit ribosomal RNA", at positions 355 to 776 of the family's 1533-position model. The record is from RNAcentral. Lineage: Bacteria; Pseudomonadati; Bacteroidota.
UAGGGAAUCUUCGGCAAUGGGGGGAACCCUGACCGAGCAACGCCGCGUGAGUGAAGAAGGUUUUCGGAUCGUAAAGCUCUGUUGUUAAGGAAGAACGAGUGUGAGAAUGGAAAGUUCAUGCUGUGACGGUACUUAACCAGAAAGGGACGGCUAACUACGUGCCAGCAGCCGCGGUAAUACGUAGGUCCCGAGCGUUGUCCGGAUUUAUUGGGCGUAAAGCGAGCGCAGGCGGUUAGAAAAGUCUGAAGUGAAAGGCAGUGGCUCAACCAUUGUAGGCUUUGGAAACUGUUUAACUUGAGUGCAGAAGGGGAGAGUGGAAUUCCAUGUGUAGCGGUGAAAUGCGUAGAUAUAUGGAGGAACACAGGUGGCGAAAGCGGCUCUCUGGUCUGUAACUGACGCUGAGGCUCGAAAGCGUGGGGAGCGAACAGG